GUGUCAGCCGCCGCGGUAAUACGUAGGGGGCAAGCGUUGUCCGGAUUUAUUGGGCGUAAAGAGCUCGUGGGCGGCUUGGUAAGUCGGAUGUGAAACCUCCAGGCUUAACCUGGAGUCGCCAUUCGAUACUGCUAUGGCUAGAGUUUGGUAGGGGACCACGGAAUUCCUGGUGUAGCGGUGAAAUGCGCAGAUAUCAGGAGGAACACCGGCGGCGAAGGCGGUGGUCUGGGCCGGUACUGACGCUGAGGAGCGAAAGCGUGGGGAGCAAACAGGAUUAGAUACCCCCGUAGUCC
This 293-nucleotide ribosomal RNA is filed under the name uncultured Acidimicrobiales bacterium. RNAcentral describes it as "partial 16S ribosomal RNA". It matches the Rfam family "Bacterial small subunit ribosomal RNA", at positions 505 to 796 of the family's 1533-position model. The record is from RNAcentral. Lineage: Bacteria; Bacillati; Actinomycetota; Acidimicrobiia; Acidimicrobiales.